RNAcentral lists this ribosomal RNA (569 nucleotides) under uncultured bacterium. Its description in RNAcentral is "partial 16S ribosomal RNA". It matches the Rfam family "Bacterial small subunit ribosomal RNA", at positions 355 to 912 of the family's 1533-position model. The record is from RNAcentral.
UGGGGAAUUUUGGACAAUGGGCGAAAGCCUGAUCCAGCCAUGCCGCGUGCAGGAUGAAGGCCUUCGGGUUGUAAACUGCUUUUGUACGGAACGAAAAGCCUCUUUCUAAUAAAGAGAGGUCAUGACGGUACCGUAAGAAUAAGCACCGGCUAACUACGUGCCAGCAGCCGCGGUAAUACGUAGGGUGCAAGCGUUAAUCGGAAUUACUGGGCGUAAAGCGUGCGCAGGCGGUUUUGUAAGACAGAGGUGAAAUCCCCGGGCUCAACCUGGGAACUGCCUUUGUGACUGCAAGGCUGGAGUGCGGCAGAGGGGGAUGGAAUUCCGCGUGUAGCAGUGAAAUGCGUAGAUAUGCGGAGGAACACCGAUGGCGAAGGCAAUCCCCUGGGCCUGCACUGACGCUCAUGCACGAAAAGCGUGGGGAGCAAAACAGGAUUAGAUACCCCUGGUAGUCCACGCCCUAAAACGAUGUCAACUGGUUGUUGGGGUCUUCACUGACUCAGUAAACGAAGCUAACGCGUGAAGUUGACCGCCUGGGGAGUACGCCGCAAGGUUGAAACUCAAAUGAAUUG